RNAcentral lists this ribosomal RNA (459 nucleotides) under uncultured Comamonas sp. RNAcentral's name for it is "bacterial SSU rRNA". It matches the Rfam family "Bacterial small subunit ribosomal RNA", at positions 919 to 1382 of the family's 1533-position model. Lineage: Bacteria; Pseudomonadati; Pseudomonadota; Betaproteobacteria; Burkholderiales; Comamonadaceae. The record is from RNAcentral.
ACCCGCACAAGCGGUGGAUGAUGUGGUUUAAUUCGAUGCAACGACGAAAACCUUACCCACCUUUGACAUGUACGGAAUCCUUUAGAGAUAGAGGAGUGCUCGAAAGAGAGCCGUAACACAGGUGCUGCAUGGCUGUCGUCAGCUCGUGUCGUGAGAUGUUGGGUUAAGUCCCGCAACGAGCGCAACCCUUGUCAUUAGUUGCUACGAAAGGGCACUCUAAUGAGACUGCCGGUGACAAACCGGAGGAAGGUGGGGAUGACGUCAAGUCCUCAUGGCCCUUAUAGGUGGGGCUACACACGUCAUACAAUGGCUGGUACAAAGGGUUGCCAACCCGCGAGGGGGAGCCAAUCCCAUAAAGCCAGUCGUAGUCCGGAUCGCAGUCUGCAACUCGACUGCGUGAAGUCGGAAUCGCUAGUAAUCGUGGAUCAGCAUGUCACGGUGAAUACGUUCCCGGGCCUU